GAACAAGCUACAUAGAGUACGAGGUGAAUGCCUAGGCGCUCUUGGCCGAUGAAGGACGCGGAGACCGGCGAAACGUUCAGGGGGAGCUGCAUGCAAGCGAUGAGCCCUGAGAAUCCGAAUGGGGCAACCCCUCCAGAGUGAUGUCUGGAGACCUGCUGGUGAACACAUAGCCUGCAGGGGGGCAGCGGGUGAACUGAAACAUCUCAGUAGCCCGACGAGAAGAAAUCAAUUGAGAUUCCCGGAGUAGUGGCGAGCGAAACGGGAGGAGCCCAAACCAUCUGAUCGUUUGAUCGGGUGGGGUUGUAGGACCCACAACACGAAUGGAUCGACGACCUGAAUGUGCUGGAAAGCACAACCAGAGCGGGUGAUAGUCCUGUAAGGCAUGAUGAUGCAUUCCGGUGGGUAUCCUGAGUACCACGAGACACGAGAAACCUUGUGGGAAGCUGGGGGGACCACCCUCCAAGGCUCAAUACCAAGAGCGACCGAUAGUGAACCAGUACCGUGAGGGAAAGGUGAAAAGCACCCCGAGAGGGGGAUGAAAGAGAUCCUGAAACCACGUACUCACCAGCAGUCAGAGGCCACUCCUGCACGAGCAGGUCAGGGCUGAUGGCGUGCCUUUUGUAGAAUGAUCCGGCGAGUGCAUCGACGUUGCGGGUUAAGGAGCGGCAAAGCUCUGGAGCCUGAGGGAAACCGAGUCUGAAGAGGGCGAGCGUUGGUUUGCAAGAACCACACGUAGCGGCGAUGCGACCCGAAACCAUGUGAGCUAUCCAUGACCAGAGUGAAGCGGAUGUGAAAGUCCGUCGAGGCUCGAACCCACCAGUGUUGCAAAACUGGGGGAUGAGCUGUGGAUAGAGGAGAAAUUCCAACCGAACGUGGAGAUAGCUGGUUCUCCCCGAAAUGCAUUGAGGUGCAGCCACCCUCAUUAAGAUCUGUUGGAGGUAGAGCGCUGGAUGGGCUAGGGGCCAAGUGCUGGUUACCAACCCCACUCAAACUGCGAAUGCCAACAGACCAAAGGGUGAGUGAGACGGCGGGGGCUAAGCUUCGUCGUCGAAAGGGAAACAGCCCAGACCACCAGCUAAGGUCUCUAAAUCGAUGCUCAGUGUCAAAGGUAGUCAGGACGCAGUGACAGCCAGGAUGUUGGCUUAGAAGCAGCCAUCAUUGAAAGAUCCCUGGCGUGAAACCAGGGAUGGUAGGGGAGCGUUCUUGUCGCAGAGAAGCCAGAUCGUGAGGACUGGUGGAGUGACAAGAAGUGAGAAUGCCGGAAUGAGUAGCGUAAUGCGUGUAUGAACCACGCACACCGGAAGCCUGAGGGUUCCUGGGCAACGUCAGACGACCCAGGGUCAGUCGGGUCCUAAGCCGAGGACGUCAGAGUCGUAGGCGAUGGAAAGCAGGUAGAAAGUCCUGCACCGGAGCAGAUCACAAUGAGUGAUGAGGGGACGCGGUAAGGAAGGUGAGCCCAUCGAAUGGACAGGAUGGGUGUGCCGCACGAAGUGCGUGACCGAGGCAAAUCCCGGUUGCAUGAGCAUGACGACGGUACCCAGCGGGCGUAAGCUCGCGGAAGUCAUCGACCCCUAUGCUGCCAAGAAAAGCCUCUAACCAGAUCUCGCUCUGCCCGUACCGCAAACCGACACCGGUAGGCUGGGGGAACUCCCCCAAGGUGAACGAGCGAACCUCUGUCAAGGAACUCGGCAAAUUGACCCCGUACCUUCGGAAGAAGGGGUGCCCUAGUAACGUGACCGAUAUGGAAGCGUGAGGGGGCCGCAGUAAAUCGGCUCAAGCGACUGUUUACCAAAAACACAGGUCUCUGCGAACACGCAAGUGGAAGUAUAGGGGCUGACUCCUGCCCAGUGCCGGAAGGUCAAGAGGAGUGGUGCACGUAGCCACGAAUCUAAGCCCCGGUGAACGGCGGCCGUAACUAUAACGGUCCUAAGGUAGCGAAAUUCCUUGUCGGGUAAGUUCCGACCCGCACGAAAGGAGUAACGACUUGAGCGCUGUCUCGACAGGGGGCUCGGCGAAAUUGAAGUACCCGUGAAGAUACGGGUUUCCCACGACAGGACAAAAAGACCCCGUGGAGCUUUACUACACCCUGGCCUUGAGAUGAGGCAGACGUUACGUAGCAUAGGUGGGAGCCUGGGAAGUCACCCUUGUGGGGGUGAUGGAGGCAAGCAUGAAAUACCACUUUUCGUAUGGUUUGUCUCUCAUGGCUGACCAUGAACUGGCAGACAGACAGGACCAGGCGGGUAGUUUGACUGGGGCGGUCGCCUCCUAAAGAGUAACGGAGGCGCUCAAAGGUUCUCUCAGGGUGGAUGGACAUCACCCUUACAGAGUGUAAAGGCACAAGAGAGCUUGACUGCGAGGCAAACAGGCCGAGCAGGGACGAAAGUCGGACUUAGUGAUCCCACAUUCCCGAGUGGAAGGAGUGUGGCUCAACGGAUAAAAGCUACCCCGGGGAUAACAGGCUUAUCUUGCCCAAGAGUUCACAUCGACGGCAAGGUUUGGCACCUCGAUGUCGGCUCGUCGCAUCCUGGGGCUGGAGUUGGUCCCAAGGGUUGGGCUGUUCGCCCAUUAAA
This 2570-nucleotide ribosomal RNA is filed under the name Chloroflexota bacterium. RNAcentral's name for it is "Chloroflexi bacterium partial 23S ribosomal RNA". It matches the Rfam family "Bacterial large subunit ribosomal RNA", at positions 1 to 2592 of the family's 2925-position model. The record is from RNAcentral. Lineage: Bacteria; Bacillati; Chloroflexota.